Molecule: ribosomal RNA, 464 nt
Filed under: uncultured bacterium
Lineage: Bacteria
Description: partial 16S ribosomal RNA
Rfam family: Bacterial small subunit ribosomal RNA
Source: RNAcentral
GCGCACGCUGGCGGCGUGCUUCACACAUGCAAGUCGAACGGAAAGGCCCCUUUGGGGGUACUCGAGUGGCGAACGGGUGAGUAACACGUGAGUAACCUGCCCUUGACUUCGGGAUAACUUCAGGAAACUGGGGCUAAUACCGGAUAGGAAUCCUUGCUGCAUGGUGGGGGUUGGAAAGCUUCGGCGGUUUUGGAUGGACUCGCGGCUUAUCAGCUUGUUGGUGGGGUAGUGGCUUACCAAGGCUUUGACGGGUAGCCGGCCUGAGAGGGCGACCGGCCACAUUGGGACUGAGAUACGGCCCAGACUCCUACGGGAGGCAGCAGUGGGGAAUAUUGCACAAUGGGCGGAAGCCUGAUGCAGCAACGCCGCGUGCGGGAUGACGGCCUUCGGGUUGUAAACCGCUUUCAGCAGGGGCGAAGCUUGUGGUGACGGUACCUGCAGAAGAAGCACCGGCUAACUACGUG